GUGUCAGCAGCCGCGGUAAUACGGAGGGUGCAAGCGUUAAUCGGAAUUACUGGGCGUAAAGCGCGCGUAGGCGGUUUAAUAAGCGGAGUGUGAAAUCCCCGGGCUCAACCUGGGAACUGCAUUCCGAACUGUUAAGCUAGAGUAUGGUAGAGGGUGGCGGAAUUCCGAGUGUAGCGGUGAAAUGCGUAGAUAUUCGGAGGAACACCAGUGGCGAAGGCGGCCACCUGGACCAAUACUGACGCUGAGGCGCGAAAGCGUGGGGAGCAAACAGGAUUAGAAACCCUUGUAGUCC
Molecule: ribosomal RNA, 292 nt
Filed under: uncultured bacterium
Lineage: Bacteria
Description: partial 16S ribosomal RNA
Rfam family: Bacterial small subunit ribosomal RNA
Source: RNAcentral